AUCCAACUGGCGAGUGCCUAACAGGACGAAACGCGCGUCAAACUGGAU
Molecule: non-coding RNA, 48 nt
Filed under: Schistosoma curassoni
Lineage: Eukaryota; Metazoa; Platyhelminthes; Trematoda; Strigeidida; Schistosomatidae
Source: RNAcentral